NGCUUCUUCUCAUUUUCUUUCUCCAAAAUCUCAGAACCACAAACUCUUGACUACUGAAUGGAAAAGUCAUGAUCGUCAGGAUAACGGCUAGAUUAUCCGUCCGAUUUGCCGGAGCUCUGCCUCAAGAUUUGCAUCUAACAUAUAUAUAAUGAUAAUCGGUAUAAAUGAGGUGCCGUGACGGUGAUUGAGAUGGUGAUGAUGCUGUGGUGUUAUGAUGGUGGUGGCAAAGACUGAGGCGAUAAGAUUCUGGUAGCAUAGGUGUGGUAGCUUGUAAUGCUAAUGAUAUAUACAAUGAUGUAUUGAUAGGUUUUAGUGAUUAAUGUCGUAUAAAUUGGUGAUUUUUGCAGCAUAUAUUAGUGAUGUUUGCAAUAUGAUAUAAUGAUUGGUGGCUGAAUCUGGGAAUUAUAUCUCAGAGUUAAUGGUGGUAAUCGAAAAUCAUGACAGUGGUUGAAGGAAGGCUGAUUUGGGGCUGGGUGGAGAUGGAGCAAUAUUCUGUGAUUGUACAUUUGUGAAGAUGAACAGUACAGAGGAAAUGUGN
This 538-nucleotide long non-coding RNA is filed under the name Daucus carota (carrot). RNAcentral's name for it is "long non-coding RNA (DCAR_LNC006118)". The record is from RNAcentral. Lineage: Eukaryota; Viridiplantae; Streptophyta; Magnoliopsida; Apiales; Apiaceae.